ACCACGCCCUCGGGCAGUUUUGCCCACCGCCCGACCUCUUCCUCCACAUCCUCCCCGGCAGCCACCGCUGCCUCCGUCUGCACGCCGCCGGACCGCCGCGCCCACUCUCCAGGCGCUCGGCCACCCCGUCCACGCGCCGCCUGGUCCAGCCCCUCUCCUCCCCGUCCACGGGCCGCCGCGCCCAGCCGAGCCGCCCGGGCCGCCGGCACGCCGCCUGGUCCGCCCCUGCCCCGUCCACGUGCCGCCCGGGCCGCCCCCGCCCGUCCACGCGCCGCCCGGGCGAACCGUGAAAGUUCGUACUUUCUGUUAAUUGUUGAUCCGUAACUGCAUCGCUGACUCGCUGGGGUGGACAGCUACUCUGUCAUGUCUGGAUGAAUUGUUGCCAGCUGGGUCAUGGCCGUCGGGGUGCUAUUCAGGUCCAAUGGCUCGAUGUGGGGAUUCCGAAUUUACUUGCCGAGUUGAGUGCCAAGGAUUUGAACUUGUGAUGCAUUAAGGCAAGGAUCCAUAUUUUUCAUUUGUCAACCUUUCAUGUGUUAUUUCCAUAUUUUUGUUCUUGCAAUUUCCUCAUCCGGGUAAUAUGCUCCGAACCCAUCAGUUCUGGAAAUUAGAAAAUUUUCACCGCUUAGUACAAAAGCAUUUUUUAUGACUGAAUAUAAAGCAUGGUAGUUCUAGCUUCACCAGGCGGUUUGAGGUGUCAAUUUGUGUUUAGGUGUGCGGCUGUGUUAGAUUUGGUCUUUUGCUUUACUAUCAUCAAUGACUUUGUGUCACAUCGGCGGAGUUCGUCAUAUGGUUCCCCAGAUUUCUCUUUUAGUUGGCCAUGCCAUUGUGUCGUCAUGUCUAUUUAGUGUUUAUUAGUCUAGCUCUAUGCUAGAUGGAGAUCGGCGCAGCUGGUUGUGUCUGGUGUAGUCGGAAGUGGGCUGGUAUGCUUGAUUGUGUCCAUGCUGCCUUUUAAGUUUCAUUGCUUUUUUUAUUUUUGUCAACAAAAAAUGUGGAGCCGCACCUUAAUUGUCAUGGUGAUGUUGGAUAUACUGUUCUAUUAUUUGACAAGUCAGUGUGUGUAUAUCUGGCAAAGUGACAAUCACAGUAAACUAGGAAUCUUAGACGUAGAGUUUAAAGAAAAUUCAGAAGCACUGGAGGCUCAUGCUUCUACUAUCUUGUUUUAAGCUCCAGUCAGGAGUGGUGUUUCUAAAAUAGAGCUUAUUAAUUUUCACAUAUAUAGCAUGUGUUCGUAAUAGCAUUCCCGUCUCAUUCUUUCUUUUCUAUUUUGUCUAUCUAUAAAUUCUAGAGCUCCUGUUCAAGUUACUAAUCUUUUCAUAUGUUUUUAACCUUUUAUAACUAUGCAAAAAAGGUCCUCAUAAAGAAGAGCCGCAGGUUUCAGAAAUAAGAUGUUUAUAACCACGCAGACAAGGUUCUAAACUUCUGAUAAAGAAGACCCACAAGUUUCAGAAAUAAGUUUGACUAAUCUCUGGAUCGGCUGCAGCCUGGAGAUGAGAUUCUUUGGCUUUGGAGAUGGUUAUACGUUUGAUCAUCCAUCAGUGUGUUAUACUACAUCCAUAUAAGGUCUUGCAGUCAACUAUUCAGAUUAUUGACUGAGAACGAUAUUUUUAGGCCUACGGAAUCUGCAAAGGAUGCGCCAAACCAAGAUUAAUUAUGAUUUUUGUAAAUUGCAUGGGUUUACUUAUUUACCUGCUCCUUUGAUGAUUGUGAUUCAUUUGUGGAAAUAUGAGAGCUUUCUUCGAAUGUCCGGAAAAAUGGUUCAAGGCUUGUUUGGCUGAAACUGUAGAUUAGCAAGACUAACGUGUGUUGAGCAUGUCAGCCUAUGUGUGGGUAGGAGUGAAACUGUAGAUUAUGCUAGAGACGAGUUUCUAAAAAAAGUCCUGGAGACGAUGGCGCUGCUGCUGCUGCUCCUCUUGCAAUGGGCAAACUGGGGGCUGCAGUUCUAGGACUUCAAGGAGGAAAGGAAGACAUGGUUACUUCUUAAAGAGGCUUUCAUCUAAAGAGAAGCACAUCGAUGAAGAAAAACGAUGUGGUCAAAGGCAAUCUGUUUCAGAAGCAUUGAGCAGUCGCAUGGCAAGUACAAGGAACAUCAUCAGUACAGCAGGGAGGUUGAAACAAGAAGUUGAGGUGAUCAAUCAUGGUAAUAAAUUGUAGUGUCAUAUUCUUCUGAAUGAAUAGGUACCAUUCCCCACUGUUAAAAAAAUCUAAUAACUGAAUGGUGCUUUGUUUUUUUACCAUUCACAUUCCCCGCUGCGAAGAUGAUGAGCAUUUGUGUUUUUUAGAUGCCGCACCUCUGUUUUUGUUGACCUUUGAUUCAUGCAUAUAUGUAAAUUCUAUGAAAAUGUACCAUAGGAAAUGUGAAUUCAUAACUCUAUGGUUGAUGUAAUCUAUUGAUUUCGAUGUGGCUAUGUUAUGAGGAUUCUGAG
Molecule: long non-coding RNA, 2423 nt
Organism: Triticum aestivum (bread wheat)
Lineage: Eukaryota; Viridiplantae; Streptophyta; Magnoliopsida; Poales; Poaceae
Exons: 7
Source: RefSeq, a predicted model, not a curated record